ACCGCUCCCACUGGCAUCAGAGGUGAGCUGGGAGCACCAAACACCUCUGAAUUGCAGCCCAGGAGGGCAGAGUUUUCUCCAGUUUCUGUCCAGAAGGAACCUGGUCACCAUGACGUCCGCAAUCAUCCUGUUCGCCAGGACUAAUGGAGCACAGAUGUACUCUCAAGGGAGUGAGCGUGAACCAGAACCCUCAUCUCUGGAACACUUCCCAGGAAGAACCAUCUCCUCACCAUCACAUAUCCCAAAGUACCUAAGGAGAAGACAGAGCAGGAAAUUAAGCAGAGGAGUGAGUUCCUAGCAUUUUUGCUGUUUUAUCCCUUUAAGGUUCUCAAGCAGGAUUUAUGAUCAUGUCUUCUUCAGAAGAAAACAGUGUUGUGCUAACAGGUUGCAAGGUGUCUAAGACUGCUCUCCACGCUAGCUUGUAGGGCAUGGAGUGCAAAGGGACAAGCAGAACCUGGCUGUUGGGCAGAGCUGUGUACUAGUGCUUGUCCA
This is a long non-coding RNA of Aquila chrysaetos chrysaetos, 492 nucleotides long. RefSeq lists it as uncharacterized. Lineage: Eukaryota; Metazoa; Chordata; Aves; Accipitriformes; Accipitridae. The transcript has 3 exons. The record is from RefSeq and is a predicted model, not a curated record.